Molecule: ribosomal RNA, 500 nt
Filed under: uncultured bacterium
Lineage: Bacteria
Description: partial 16S ribosomal RNA
Rfam family: Bacterial small subunit ribosomal RNA
Source: RNAcentral
AUUGAACGCUGGCGGCAGGCCUAACACAUGCAAGUCGAGCGGAUGACGGGAGCUUGCUCCUUGAUUCAGCGGCGGACGGGUGAGUAAUGCCUAGGAAUCUGCCUGGUAGUGGGGGACAACGUUUCGAAAGGAACGCUAAUACCGCAUACGUCCUACGGGAGAAAGCAGGGGAACUUCGGGCGUUGCGAUAUCCGAUGUGCCUAGGUCGGAUUAGCUAGUUGGUGGGGUAAUGGCUCACCAACGCGACGAUCCGUAAAGGGUCUGAGAGGAUGAUCAGUCACACUGGAACUGAUACACGGUCCAGACUCCUACGGGAGGCAGCAGUGGGGAAUAUUGGACAAUGGGCGAAAGCCUGAUCCAGCCAUGCCGCGUGUGUGAAGAAGGUCUUCGGAUUGUAAAGCACUUUAAGUUGGGAGGAAGGGCAGUAAGUUAAUACCUUGCUGUUUUGACGUUACCGACAGAAUAAGCACCGACUAACUCUGUGCCAGCCGCCGCCGUAA